Molecule: long non-coding RNA, 1359 nt
Filed under: Homo sapiens (human)
Lineage: Eukaryota; Metazoa; Chordata; Mammalia; Primates; Hominidae
Description: HSALNT0396576
Source: RNAcentral
AGAGAGGUGUGCAGGAUAUGCACCUCUGGAUGCUUUUAUUGAAGCCAAAUAAUUGCCUCCAGGGUUCUUCAGCCCAGGAGGCCGAACUCAUUGCUUUAACUUGGGCCCUAGAGCUAAGUGAGACUGUGAACAUUUACACUGACUCUCGAUAUGCCUUUUUAACCCUCCAAGUGCAUAAAGCAUUAUAUAAAGAAACAGGCCUGUUAAACUCUGGGGGAAAAGAUAUAAAGUAUCAGCAAGAAAUCUUGCAAUUAUUAGAGGCAGUGUGGAAGCCCCAGAAGAUGGCAGUCACGCACUGCAGAGGACACCAGUGAACUCCUACUACAGUUGCUUUAGGGAACUCCUGAGUGGACUCGGAGGCUCAAAAGGCAGCAUCCACCCCUUACCGGGCAUCAAUCACAGCCCCCUUUCUCCCUCAAGAACCUGAACUUUUACCUACCUAUUCUAAGGGAGAAAAAAACUUUUUCCAAGUGGAAGGGGGACAGGUAAUAAAGGAAGGAUGGAUCCAGGUAUCGGAUGGGAGAAUAGCUGUGCCACAGCUACUUGGAGCAGAGGUUGUACUGGCUGUGCAUUUAACUACCCAUCUAGGUCAGGAAUCACUUGAAAAGUUGUUAGGCCGGUAUUUUUACAUCUCCCAUUUAUCAGCUCUUGCCAAAACAGUAGCGCAGCGAUGUGUUAUCUGCCGACAGCACAAUGCAAGACAGGGUCCAGCCGUUCUGCCAGGUAUACAGACAUAUGGAGCAGCCCCCUUUGAAGAUCUCCAAGUGAACUUCACAGAAAUGCCAAAGCGUGGAGGUGAUUGAGUGUGGAUCAAAGAUUGGAACACAUCCCCCUUGCGACCACGGUGGAAAGGAGCCCAGACCAUCAUCUUGACCACCCCCCCACAGCUGUAAAGGUAGAAGGAAUCCCAGCCUGGAUCCACCAUAGCUGAAUAAAACCUGCAGCCUCUGAAACCUGGGAGGGACCACUGCAAUUUAGGGAUGUGGCCACAGAAUUCUCUCUGGAGGAGUGGCAUUGCCUGGACACUGCACAGUGGAAUUUAUAUAGGGAUGUGAUUUUAGAGAACCACAGAAACCUGGUCUUCCUUGGUAUUGUUGUCCUAAGCCAGACCUGAUCACCUGUCUGGAGCAAGGAAAAAAACCCUUGACUAUGAAGAGACAUGAGAUGAUUGCCAAACCCCCAAAUAUUUUCUUAGUAGUGUCUUGGGGAUUACACAAAACCUCUAAAAGAUCCAACAAUAUGUUUAAAUGAGGUAAAAAAUUAACUUCAGUUGAAUGCAAAAAUUCUUCAUGAUUACAUCUGCCUUCAACUUUGUUAUUGAUUUUGCUAAUUAUAUUAUUUAUUUAUUUAUUUAUUUAU